Molecule: non-coding RNA, 70 nt
Organism: Eumeta japonica
Lineage: Eukaryota; Metazoa; Arthropoda; Insecta; Lepidoptera; Psychidae
Source: the annotation of a GenBank genome assembly
CCGUUCUCGUCCGAUCACCGAAGUUAAGCAGCAUCGAGUGCGGUCGGUACUCGGAUGGGUAACCGCCUGG